This is a non-coding RNA of Oryzias latipes (Japanese medaka), 1142 nucleotides long. The record is from RefSeq and is a predicted model, not a curated record. Lineage: Eukaryota; Metazoa; Chordata; Actinopteri; Beloniformes; Adrianichthyidae.
UGGGGUGCGUGGUGGUGAGUGGGCGUGGCCACGGGAGUCAGCGGUGUCAGGAUAAACCCGAUGAACUGCCGUCCGUUUAACUAGGCGAAAGGUCGAUCCAGUCUACGCUGCGUUCAUGGGCUGUGAGAAAAAUCCGACCCGAAAGGAGCAACAACAGGGGUUUUUCUUUGAGCAUUUACCCUCUGAUUGGUCAGGAGGGAUGGCAAAGUCAAUCUGUUGCUAUGAGAUGCUGACUUGUGAGCUGCUGGCUUGCUGUCUGUUGUCCUGGCAACGUGAGGAGCAGGAGCGUUGAAUGUCUGGAACAGGCACUCACAUGGCGCUGGAGGGCAGAGAAGUGGAUGUCGGGGAUAAACAGGACCGGCUGGGUCUCGAGGUCGUUCAUCAUCUUGAAGAUGGUCACGUCAUUGCGCUUCUGGAGGAUGGGAACCUUCAUGUCUGCAACUGAGAGGACAAAGGCAGAAGAAGCAGAUCAACAAGUGAAAGCUCCCCAAAAUAUAUCUUCACCCAUGAAGCUUUCAUAUUAUAAAAAAUUAGCUGUAUGUGUAUUUAUCAGGCAAAGGAUCUCAGCGCUUUUGGCAGAAGAAAAUUGUGCAGUAGUUGUUGUAUUGUGUCUAGGUUAGUCAGCAGCGCCACCUGCUGGAUUGCUUUAGAAUUCAGCAAUUCUACUUGAGAUAUUUAAAGUCCCACUCCAGUCAUUUUUUGAUUUAUUUGAAAUGCAAUCCAGGUGGUUUUUUUAAGUAUGAUCGUGCUGUUUUCAUCCAAAAUAAAAAAAAAAAAAACGUGAGUUUUCUAGGACAUAGCUUCUGCAGAGCGGCAGUAGUGCAGAAAUUCCCCUUUGAAUUGUGGGUGGGACUGUUUGUGUGGAGUAAGCCCACCCCAUUUCCUGUCAUCCCUCUGUUUACAGUUCUCUUGCUAGUUUACAGGGCCUCAUAUCUCCAAUCUAACAUUAGCGGUGCAACAAAAACGUCCAUUAAUGUUGGAACUAUCCAGCCGUCCAGUUCUGAGUCAGAUUCUAGCUCAGACGAGGAAAACAAAGACAUACGUGGAUCUAUUUGUCUACAAGCGGAUGCAUCAGAAUGGAGCAGAGCAGGGAGAUUGUGCUUCUGAUUCACAACGAUGUAAAUAAAUACUGAGGAACGCAA